AAUAGAUACCCAGGUAGUCCACGCCGUAAACGAUGAGUACUAGGUGUAGGAGGGUCCAACCUUCUGUGCCGCAGUUAACACAAUAAGUACUCCGCCUGGGAAGUACGAUCGCAAGAUUAAAACUCAAAGGAAUUGACGGGGGCCCGCACAAGCAGCGGAGCAUGUGGUUUAAUUCGAAGCAACGCGAAGAACCUUACCUGGACUUGACAUCCCCUGAAUUACUCGUAAUGGAGGAAGCCCUUCGGGGCAGGGAGACAGGUGGUGCAUGGUUGUCGUCAGCUCGUGUCGUGAGAUGUUAGGUUAAGUCCUGCAACGAGCGCAACCCUUAUCAUUAGUUGCUACCAUUAAGUUGAGCACUCUAGUGAGACUGCCCGGGUUAACCGGGAGGAAGGUGGGGAUGACGUCAAAUCAUCAUGCCCCUUAUGUCCAGGGCUACACACGUGCUACAAUGGUGAGUACAAUUAGAUGCAAACCCGCGAGGGGAGCCAAACUAAAAAACUACAUCCCAGUUCGGAUUGUAGGCUGAAACUCGCCUACA
Molecule: ribosomal RNA, 538 nt
Filed under: uncultured bacterium
Lineage: Bacteria
Description: bacterial SSU rRNA
Rfam family: Bacterial small subunit ribosomal RNA
Source: RNAcentral